AUUGAACGCUGGCGGCAGGCCUAACACAUGCAAGUCGAGCGGAAGAAGGGAGCUUGCUCCUGGAUUCAGCGGCGGACGGGUGAGUAAUGCCUAGGAAUCUGCCUGGUAGUGGGGGAUAACGUCCGGAAACGGGCGCUAAUACCGCAUACGUCCUGAGGGAGAAAGGGGGGGAUCUUCGGACCUCACGCUAUCAGAUGAGCCUAGGUCGGAUUAGCUAGUUGGUGGGGUAAAGGCCUACCAAGGCGACGAUCCGGAACUGGUCUGAGAGGAUGAUCAGUCACACUGGAACUGAGACACGGUCCAGACUCCUACGGGAGGCAGCAGUGGGGAAUAUUGGACAAUGGGCGAAAGCCUGAUCCAGCCAUGCCGCGUGUGUGAAGAAGGUCUUCGGAUUGUAAAGCACUUUAAGUUGGGAGGAAGGGCAGUAAGUUAAUACCUUGCUGUUUUGACGUUACCAACAGAAUAAGCACCGGCUAACUUCGUG
RNAcentral lists this ribosomal RNA (484 nucleotides) under uncultured bacterium. RNAcentral's name for it is "partial 16S ribosomal RNA". It matches the Rfam family "Bacterial small subunit ribosomal RNA", at positions 30 to 507 of the family's 1533-position model. The record is from RNAcentral.